RNAcentral lists this ribosomal RNA (253 nucleotides) under uncultured bacterium. RNAcentral describes it as "partial 16S ribosomal RNA". It matches the Rfam family "Bacterial small subunit ribosomal RNA", at positions 524 to 776 of the family's 1533-position model. The record is from RNAcentral.
UACGGAGGGUGCGAGCGUUAAUCGGAAUUACUGGGCGUAAAGGGCGCGUAGGCGGUGUAUUAAGUUAGAUGUGAAACCCCUGGGCUUAACCUAGGAACUGCAUCUGAUACUGGUACGCUAGAGUGCGGUAGAGGAUAGUGGAAUUUCCGGUGUAGCGGUGAAAUGCGUAGAUAUCGGAAGGAACACCAGUGGCGAAGGCGGCUAUCUGGACUGACACUGACGCUGAGGCGCGAAAGCGUGGGGAUCAAACAGG